GAACACGAUUUAGAAUUGCAGAGUCAAGCGGAUCCCUUCGGGGAUGGCUUGGGGAAAUUCCCCGGACACCAGGGCAGAAAGUGCCAGCGUCGAUGCGUAGAUCCCCUCGCGAAGAAGCUGCGGAGAUGGCCGGUGCGCGUGUGCGAACUCGCGUGCUGGCCGGAGCGUCAUAGUGGACUUGCGAGGACUGAUCGUCAUACUAAAAGUUAUGCAAUUGGCUCAGCGGCGCUACGCAGACGUCGUGCUGCAGCCGCUUCGAGCUAACCCGACGGGGAUUACUCAUGUUGUGUU
Molecule: RNase MRP RNA, 291 nt
Filed under: Globisporangium iwayamae DAOM BR242034
Lineage: Eukaryota; Oomycota; Peronosporomycetes; Pythiales; Pythiaceae
Description: rNase MRP
Rfam family: RNase MRP
About the family: RNase MRP is an enzymatically active ribonucleoprotein with two distinct roles in eukaryotes. In mitochondria it plays a direct role in the initiation of mitochondrial DNA replication. In the nucleus it is involved in precursor rRNA processing, where it cleaves the internal transcribed spacer 1 between 18S and 5.8S rRNAs.
Source: RNAcentral